Molecule: unclassified non-coding RNA, 285 nt
Filed under: plant metagenome
Description: partial contains small subunit ribosomal RNA, internal transcribed spacer 1, and 5.8S ribosomal RNA
Rfam family: Eukaryotic small subunit ribosomal RNA (bases 1-54)
Source: RNAcentral
GGUAGUAAAAGUCGUAACAAGGUUUCCGUAGGUGAACCUGGGGAAGGAUCAUUAUUGUAUAACCGAGGAGCGAGGGCUGUCGCUGACCCGAAAGGUCGUGCACGCCCGAGUGCCCUCACACACAUCCAUCUCACCCCUAUGUGCACCACCGCGUGGGUCCCCCUUUGGCUUGUUCGGAGGGGGGCUUACGUUUUCACACAAACUUUGUAUGCAGUGUAGAAUGUAUUUUUUGUUUUUGCGAUCACGCAAUCAAUACAACUUUCAACAACGGAUCUCUUGGCUCUC